RNAcentral lists this ribosomal RNA (679 nucleotides) under uncultured bacterium. Its description in RNAcentral is "bacterial SSU rRNA". It matches the Rfam family "Bacterial small subunit ribosomal RNA", at positions 8 to 731 of the family's 1533-position model. The record is from RNAcentral.
AGAGUUUGAUCCUGGCUCAGGAUGAACGCUGGCGGUAUGCCUAACACAUGCAAGUCGAACGGAACCUUCGGGUUUAGUGGCGGACGGGUGAGUAACGCGUGAGAAUCUGCCUUCAGGAUGGGGACAACAGUUGGAAACGACUGCUAAUACCCGAUAUGCAGCGAUGUGAAAGAUUUAUCGCCUGGAGAUGAGCUCGCGUCAGAUUAGCUAGAUGGUGUGGUAAAGGCGCACCAUGGCGACGAUCUGUAGCUGGUCUGAGAGGAUGAGCAGCCACACUGGGACUGAGACACGGCCCAGACUCCUACGGGAGGCAGCAGUGGGGAAUUUUCCGCAAUGGGCGCAAGCCUGACGGAGCAAUACCGCGUGAGGGAGGAAGGCUCUUGGGUCGUAAACCUCUUUUCUCAGGGAAGAACAAAAUGACGGUACCUGAGGAAUAAGCAUCGGCUAACUCCGUGCCAGCAGCCGCGGUAAUACGGAGGAUGCAAGCGUUAUCCGGAAUGAUUGGGCGUAAAGCGUCCGUAGGUGGUUUUGUAAGUCUGUGGUUAAAGCGCGAAGCUCAACUUCGUAUCGGCCAUGGAAACUACAAGACUAGAGUAAAGUAGGGGUAGAGGGAAUUCCCAGUGUAGCGGUGAAAUGCGUAGAGAUUGGGAAGAACACCGGUGGCGAAAGCGCUCUACUG